This is a long non-coding RNA of Aethalodelphis obliquidens (Pacific white-sided dolphin), 393 nucleotides long. RefSeq lists it as uncharacterized. The transcript is spliced from 3 exons. Lineage: Eukaryota; Metazoa; Chordata; Mammalia; Artiodactyla; Delphinidae. The record is from RefSeq and is a predicted model, not a curated record.
CCCGCCCGCCCCGGCGGGUGAGCAGACAAGCCUCUCGGACUGAUUAUCACCUGGUUCUCCUGAAAGAGAAGGUGAUACAGCCCAGAGCCUUUGCUGAGAAAGAUGUGUUCAUCAGAGGGAAAAACACAGGACAGCUGUUGUGGAGAAGCUUUUGGGCAGUUAAUGGAACAGGCUAAAGAAAUUCCAUAAAAAGUUAUGUGAUUCAUGCAAAAGAAUGAAAUUGGACCCUUACCUAACACCAUACACAAAAAUUAACUCAAAAUGAAUCAAAGGCCUAAAUGUAAGAUCCACAGGUGUAAAACUCUUAGAAGAAAACAUAGAGCCAAAGUUUUACCACUUUGGGUUUGACAAUGAUUUCUUGGACAUGACACCGUAGGCACAGGAAACAAAAGA